Molecule: ribosomal RNA, 266 nt
Filed under: uncultured bacterium
Lineage: Bacteria
Description: partial 16S ribosomal RNA
Rfam family: Bacterial small subunit ribosomal RNA
Source: RNAcentral
GUCCACGCCGUAAACGAUGAGUGCUAGGUGUAGCGGGCUUUGACCCCUGCGGUGCCGUAGCUAACGCAUUAAGCACUCCGCCUGGGGAGUACGGCCGCAAGGCUAAAACUCAAAGGAAUUGACGGGGGCACGCACAAGCGGUGGAGCAUGUGGUUCAAUUCGACGCAACGCGCAGAACCUUACCUGGGCUAGAAAAUGCAGGGACCUGGUUGAAAGAUCGGGGUGCUCUUCGGAGAACCUGUAGUUAGGUGCUGCAUGGCUGUCGU